RNAcentral lists this transfer RNA (76 nucleotides) under Rickettsiales bacterium. RNAcentral's name for it is "tRNA-Phe". It matches the Rfam family "tRNA". Rfam says of the family: Transfer RNA (tRNA) molecules are approximately 80 nucleotides in length. Lineage: Bacteria; Pseudomonadati; Pseudomonadota; Alphaproteobacteria; Rickettsiales. The record is from RNAcentral. RNAcentral also lists the same sequence under 1 other name.
GGCUGGGUAGCUCAGUUGGUAGAGCAAGGGACUGAAAAUCCCUGUGUCGGGGGUUCGAUUCCCUCCCCAGCCACCA